CAAUGAAUUCGAAUUGGCUGAAAUUUACCAAAAUAAGUAAACAAAUAGCAAAUAGUCACCAAGUCAAUUUUCACGUUGGGAAGAGUCUAAAUUGUGACGGUCUACGGACCGUAAAGUUGAGGCGUGUGGUUGUGACGGGUUUAGGGAUUGUGUCUUGUCUUGGUGUUGGAUCCAGACAUGUGUGGGAUAGAAUUAUCAAAGGCCAAUGUGGAAUCGGCACAAUCAAUGGAGAAGGCUUUGAAGGUAUUCCCUGUAAGGUAGCUGGUCUUAUUCCAAGGGGAGAUAAUCCUGGAGAAUUGCAGCUCAAAGAUUACAUGUCCGUCCAAGAGCAGCGCAUCAUGUCCCAGGGUUGUGCAUACGCACUUGCUGCUGUUGAGGAGGCACUUACAGAUGCAGGAUGGAAACCCAAAUCUGAGGAUGAAAAAAAUUCUACUGGGGUUGCUAUAGGUAUGGGAAUGGUAGGCAUGGAGGAGAUGUUCAACACUGGCCUCGCACUACGGGAUAGGGGUUAUACUCGGGUCAGUCCAUACUUCAUGCCAAAAAUUCUCAUCAACAUGACAGCAGGCAACAUCAGUGUCAAACAUAGCUUACAGGGCCCUAAUCAUGCUGUGUCCACUGCCUGUACCACAGGACUACAUGCUGUAGGGGAUGCCUUCAGGUUUAUUCAGCGUGGGGAUGCCAAAGUGAUGGUAGCUGGUGGAUCGGAGGAGAGUCCCAACCCUAUGUCUGUGGCUGGCUUCUCCAGGAUGAGGGCACUAAGUACAAAAUUCAAUGAUAGUCCUCAGAAGGCCUCCAGGCCAUUCGACAAAGACAGGGAUGGAUUUGUUAUGUCAGAGGGAUCGGGCAUCUUGGUGUUGGAGGAGCUUGAACAUGCAUUGGAUAGAGGGGCAGACAUAUACGCAGAAGUUUUAGGUUAUGGUCUGUCAGGUGAUGCAAAUCACAUGACCGCUCCACAGGAGGAUGGUUCUGGGGCCUACAGGUGUAUGAAAGCAGCCCUAAAUGAUGCUCAAUUCUCUGAGACAGACAUUGGGUAUAUAAAUGCUCAUGCAACCUCGACACCAUUGGGUGAUUUGGCAGAGAGCAGGGCCAUCUGGCGGCUGUUUGGAGAGAAAAAUCCGGAUGUUUUGGUGUCCUCUACUAAAGGUGCUACUGGACAUUUGUUAGGUAGUGCAGGCAGUGUGGAAGCCAUAUUUGCUGUAAUGGCCUGUUAUAGUAGGAAAAUACCCGCCACAUUAAAUCUGUGUGAAUCAGACAUUGACCUUCCACUGAAGUAUGUUAGUCAGAACUCUGUAGAUUGGCCAUCAGGGUCAGCAAGACGUUUAGCUCUCACAAACUCUUUUGGAUUUGGAGGUACAAAUGGCAGUUUGUGCAUAGGAAGUUUUCAUCAGGGCUAAUUUAGUAUAUGAUAUCUGUAGAGAACUACAUUGAGUGUCAAUAUAUGGUUACUGUUAUAUUUUAUACAUCCUUAUUGUAAGGAUAAUAAAUAUUCCAACACUAUUCUGCUUUAUUAGGAGAGCUAAAUUAUAAGGCAUUAUCUAUACAUGGUCAUUGAAAUUACAAAUAGUUUUCAUUUUUCAUUCAGACAAAUAUCCCAUAUGGAAGUUUGGUAUUAACUAAAUUGACUGGUUGUCAAGGUGAUACUAGAUGAUGUCAACAAACUGGUCAUGAGUGUCCAAUGAAAAGAUGGCUGUUAACAAGACAUAAAUAUCAUAAGUUUAGACAUUUUUGUGGACUUUCCAUAAUUUUACAUUUAUAAACAGAUAACCAAAACUAACAAUUAAUUUCACAAUUUAUUCCAUGGGUACAACAAGUUAUUUGGCAUCAAUAUGAAUAUAUAAAAAGUUAUCACAUUGAAAGCAUAUCUAAGCAGUGUAUCACAGAUCUUUAUGUAUAUCACAACAUUAUAAAAAUAUAGUUUCAUUGGAAUCAUUCUGUGGAAAUGACUUGUGAAAUUAAGCACUGAUAGCAUGUGGUCAAAGGGCAUUAUAGUAUACACUAUUACCGAUAGAUCCCAGGUAGUGAUAUAUCCUACACUUACAAUCUUCAAUAGACAUUGAUUUAACAGUUAUUCUAUCCAAGAAAUUACAAUAUUCUAAUUUCCUAAGACAUAGAAUUUUUUAGCAAUAUGCUAUUCUGGUAAUAUUGUUUUAUUCUAGUUUUUCUCUUAAACAUAUGUUCAAAAUCUCCACACAACUUCUAUAGAGUUUUUGAAAUAACAGUAACAUAAGCAUGUUUGAUAUGUUUUCAGCAGUAAACAUGUAACAAACUACUCCUGUCUGAUACUAGUUCUUCAUCCUUGAUAACAGAACAUAGGAUUCAAUGUUGUGUUAGUUUUUUGAGUUUUGUCAGUUUUGGUGACACAUUGUGAUAAUGAGACAUAUGAAGAUUUAUAAAAAUCAUAACCAGACAUAACAAACAAUAGAAAUGUAUCACGACUGUAGGUAAGUCUUUGUUUAAGCUAAUACUGGGG
RNA transcript from Pecten maximus, 2470 nucleotides. It is a transcript of the gene named 3-oxoacyl-[acyl-carrier-protein] synthase, mitochondrial-like, with no coding region annotated. NCBI's taxonomy places the organism in Eukaryota, Metazoa, Mollusca, Bivalvia, Pectinida, Pectinidae. The record is from RefSeq and is a predicted model, not a curated record. The transcript is spliced from 5 exons.